RNAcentral lists this ribosomal RNA (413 nucleotides) under Boana semilineata group sp. ABGD cluster 96. RNAcentral describes it as "partial large subunit ribosomal RNA". It matches the Rfam family "Archaeal large subunit ribosomal RNA", at positions 1927 to 2490 of the family's 2987-position model. Lineage: Eukaryota; Metazoa; Chordata; Amphibia; Anura; Hylidae. The record is from RNAcentral.
CUUGAACUAAAUAAGAGGUCCAGCCUGCCCAGUGAAAUUAUUCAACGGCCGCGGUAUCCUAACCGUGCGAAGGUAGCGUAAUCACUUGUUCUUUAAAUGAGGACUAGUAUGAAUGGCACCACGAGGGUUCUACUGUCUCCUUUUUAAAAUCAGUAAAACUAAUCUUCCCGUGAAGAAGCGGGAAUUUUUUUAUAAGACGAGAAGACCCUAUGGAGCUUUAAACAAAUGACAUUUGCUUAAUCUAAUAUUUUAUUUUCAAGAAAUAUAGCAUUAUGAUCCUUAGUUUUCGAUUGGGGUGAUCACGGAGAAAAAUUUAACCUCCACGCCGAAAGGGUUUAUUCCCUAAGCAAAAAGCUACAGCUUUAAGCACUAAAAAAUUAACGUAGUUUGACCCAAUAUUUUGAUCAACGAAC